RNAcentral lists this ribosomal RNA (253 nucleotides) under uncultured bacterium. RNAcentral's name for it is "partial 16S ribosomal RNA". It matches the Rfam family "Bacterial small subunit ribosomal RNA", at positions 524 to 776 of the family's 1533-position model. The record is from RNAcentral.
UACGGGGGGAGCAAGCGUUGUUCGGAUUUACUGGGCGUAAAGGGCGCGUAGGCGGCGUGACAAGUCACUUGUGAAAUCUCCGGGCUUAACCCGGAGCGGUCAAGUGAUACUGUCGUGCUAGAGUGCGGAAGGGGCUACUGGAAUUCUCGGUGUAGCGGUGAAAUGCGUAGAUAUCGAGAGGAACACCUGCGGCGAAGGCGGGUUGCUGGGCCGACACUGACGCUGAUGCGCGAAAGCCAGGGGAGCGAACGGG